This is a long non-coding RNA of Chinchilla lanigera (long-tailed chinchilla), 2973 nucleotides long. RefSeq lists it as uncharacterized. The record is from RefSeq and is a predicted model, not a curated record. NCBI's taxonomy places the organism in Eukaryota, Metazoa, Chordata, Mammalia, Rodentia, Chinchillidae. The transcript is spliced from 6 exons.
GUCACAGUCAGCUGUAGUUGGAUGGAGGAGGACAACAGGAGUCCCUGCUGCCCCUUGCAGUCAUGGAUGUGGCAUUGAUCACAGUGUGUGUAUUCCAUUGGUGAGUGCUCAAUCAAUGGUUCUGCUGCCUAGAAGGUCGGGAAGUGAGUUUUCCUCCAUGCUCCAGAGAAGGUACGUGAUUAGGGUCAGCACAUACCAGUAGCUCUGCUCCACCAGCACAAACUGGUUCAGAACUCAGACGGCAAGAGACACAGAGGAAAGCAACAAAUAUGUGAGAACCAAGACAGAGAAAAGAACAAAGAUCAGAACAGGACCAGAGAGACAUUUGCCUAUUGACCAAUGUGGUAAAAGGGUAUGGGAAUUGAUUCCAGAACUUUAUUAUGUAAGGUUAACUUUGUAACAAACUGUACAUAAUUCUCAUUUCAUAGUUGGACUCAAUCAUUCUCUACUACCCUGUUUUGCAGUCUUUAUCAAUUCUUGGGUUAAAGAACACUACCAGGGGCUGGGGCUGUAGCUAAGUUGCAGCGCAAGGCCCUGGGUUUAAUCUCCGGUAUGUACUGCAAAACAAAACAAAGCAUAACAUAACAAGACCUCACACUAGGUACUUCUAACAGGAGGAGGCUGGGCUGGCAGAGUCUCGCUGACAAUUGAGGUCAAAACUCCUGUGCAGGGGCGUGAAGCAGGGAGAGGUCCACCUUCAGUGGGGCCACUCUGAUUCUUCUCAUUCCCAUCUGGGGCGCUGCACAUUUCUCUCGGGGAUCCUGGAAAAACUGGCAAGUAAAGAAAGUGUCACCCUCAGGCUUGCUGGAAGGGCUUUUUUUGAGAAAAACAAAAAACCAAAAAACAAAAACCAAUGAAAAUCUCAGGGAAGCUAAAAACAAAUAACCCUGACCAAUGUCUCCCACCUGUUGUUAAAAAAAAAAAAAAUUUAAAAAAACUGAGCUUCAUUACUUCAAACCCAAAUUCCUGUGAGCCUGGCAGCCACUCUAUUUCAGGUUAAAUAUCCAUUUGUCUGCCGGGCCUAAUGCUUAAAAUCAUAGGUAAUCUCUAUUUUCUCUCCGUCCUCUGAAGUAUAAACCUCUGCUGACUGGAGAAAUGUGACUCUCUGUCAGGGAGGGCCUGUGUGAGUGAGUGUAGGAGGGCAUGCCGGCGUGAGAAUGUGUCUAGGUCGUACAGGUAUUUGUGUUACUCUGUGGAGCCUGCGUAUGCACAAGAGAUUCAGAGCGCGAAGAAGAGCAACUCGGGGGAUCCACGUUUCACCUAACAUGAUAUGAGACUCUAGGUAACUGGCUGUAGAGAAAUGGGAACCCACAGGGAACCAACACCAGGGCGGUUGAAAGGCCCAGAAGACUUAACCCUUACUUGACUUGGUAAUUACAAGCACCUGCAAGGCUCUGUCUCGGGGAGGAGAGGGCAGCGCUACUGCCAGCUGACAUCUGCCUGGAGCAAAGAAGGAGGGCUUCAGCCCUGAGCAGAACUUUGGCAUCGCUUUUGCGCUCAGCUGUCAUGCCCACUUGCACUGUGCACAAGGCUGCCUGUCAGACUGUGCCGAAUUCUAUGGCGUGGUUCCAGAGCUUUCUGUCUGCCCUCUGUUGCCCUACCUGUGUGCUCCCGGAGGACUCUCGUUUCCAUAACAACAGGCCCCACCCGCGUGGUGUGGGUGGCCACCUGCCGGUUCCUGACGAUUUAGCCACCCCUCACCCGGCCCCUCCAGCCUUGCAGUGCUUGUUCCCAUCCACGCAAGAGUGCUGAUCGUCAGAAUUUCCUGAGUGAAAAGAGGAAAAUGGUGACUCAGUGCAUACGUAAAUAAAAGUUACAGGCGAAGUAGGCAGGGCUGACCUUGACUGGCCUCCCUAGCAGAAGCGCAAUAGGAUUAAGUGGCUUGCCAGCCUCACAAGUACCUAGGCCAGCUGUGGGAGUGAUUGAGGACUUCAAAAAGCAAAGUCAGAAUCAACUGGGAGAUGUAGCUGACAUCAGAAGUCAUCAGCGCAGGGGGCUGAAGUACCUGGCAUUCCUGUCACAGGUCCUGCCGAGGCUCAACUCAGCCUCCUCCAUAAGGACUGAUUUUUCCAUCUGGCCUAACCAGAGCCUGAGGUUGAAUCCCACAGAACCAGUAGGUUCAACCUGAGCUGGCUGAAACAUGCACAGAACUGAGAAAGACAAAUUUGAUCCUUUCUGAAAGACCGAUGCAGCAGAAUUGUGCUCCCCCCUGCUCAGACCCAAGCCCUUAAAGAGAAAACAUUCUGUUCUUCCAACUCUAGAGAUGCCCCCAUCAUGGAGAAACAGCAGUCUCCAAAGGAUUUUGCAUUCCAGAAGCUGGCUGGAUGACAGUGUUAAAUGGAAGCAUGUUGUCAAAGAGAUCUGUUUCACAUCACAGGUCCUGGGGUACAAAGAUCAGAGAAGGCUGGAAUGACCUCAGCUCCAGAAACCCCAGCACAGAGGUGGAAGAGAAGCAUAAAUUUCCCAGAUGCUUGAGAAGAGUUGAAGGGCAAUAGAGCACCAGUAGACCCAGAUUUCUGAAAGAAGUGACAAGGGAACAUUGCAACAAAAAGUAGCAAGACCAGGUCAGGUCAUGGACAGUCUUAGAGUACAGCUGACCAGGGGUGGGUCACAGCUCAGGACAGUCACCACUUGCCAGUAUAAGCUGCCCCACACGGGUACUCACUAGUAAAAAGGAAGAAAAUAGGAAACACCAGAACUAACUGAACUUCAAGAUAAAAAGACUGAAAAAACACAGUUUUUUUUUUUCCAGAAAUAAUUAAGGUUGCAAGGUACUAAGUGAAUUAAAUUGCAUUAUAAAAAUAUUAUGUAUUUUUUACCACAGCGAUGUAUGUGCACCCAUGUUUAUAGCAGCAUGAUUUGUCAUAGCUAAAUCUUGGAAGCAGCCCAGACGUCCAUCAGUUGAGGAGAGGAUAAAAAGGAUGUGGCAUUUUUAUACAACGGAGUAUUACUCAGCUAUAAAGAAUGAUAAAC